AGAGUUUGAUCCUGGCUCAGAUUGAACGCUGGCGGAAUGCUUUACACAUGCAAGUCGAGCGGCAGCGCGGGGGCAACCCUGGCGGCGAGCGGCGAACGGGUGAGUAAUGUAUCGGAACGUACCCAGUCGUGGGGGAUAACUAUCCGAAAGGAUAGCUAAUACCGCAUACGACCUGAGGGUGAAAGCGGGGGACCGCAAGGCCUCGCGCGAUUGGAGCGGCCGAUAUCGGAUUAGCUAGUUGGUGAGGUAAAGGCUCACCAAGGCGACGAUCCGUAGCUGGUCUGAGAGGACGACCAGCCACACUGGAACUGAGACACGGUCCAGACUCCUACGGGAGGCAGCAGUGGGGAAUUUUGGACAAUGGGGGCAACCCUGAUCCAGCCAUUCCGCGUGAGUGAAGAAGGGCUUCGGGUUGUAAAGCUCUUUCAGCAGGAACGAAACGGCUCUCUCUAACAUAGGGAGUUAAUGACGGUACCU
Molecule: ribosomal RNA, 477 nt
Filed under: uncultured bacterium
Lineage: Bacteria
Description: bacterial SSU rRNA
Rfam family: Bacterial small subunit ribosomal RNA
Source: RNAcentral